GAGUUUGAUCAUGGCUCAGAUUGAACGCUGGCGGCAGGCUUAACACAUGCAAGUCGAGCGGAGAGAGGUAGCUUGCUACUGAUCUUAGCGGCGGACGGGUGAGUAAUGCUUAGGAAUCUGCCUAUUAGUGGGGGACAACAUUUCGAAAGGAAUGCUAAUACCGCAUACGUCCUACGGGAGAAAGCAGGGGAUCUUCGGACCUUGCGCUAAUAGAUGAGCCUAAGUCGGAUUAGCUAGUUGGUGGGGUAAAGGCCUACCAAGGCGACGAUCUGUAGCGGGUCUGAGAGGAUGAUCCGCCACACUGGGACUGAGACACGGCCCAGACUCCUACGGGAGGCAGCAGUGGGGAAUAUUGGACAAUGGGCGCAAGCCUGAUCCAGCCAUGCCGCGUGUGUGAAGAAGGCCUUAUGGUUGUAAAGCACUUUAAGCGAGGAGGAGGCUACUUUAGUUAAUACCUAGAGAUAGUGGACGUUACUCGCAGAAUAAGCACCGGCUAACUCUGUGCCAGCAGCCGCGGUAAUACAGAGGGUGCAAGCGUUAAUCGGAUUUACUGGGCGUAAAGCGCGCGUAGGCGGCUAAUUCAGUCAAAUGUGAAAUCCCCGAGCUUAACUUGGGAAUUGCAUUCGAUACUGGUUAGCUAGAGUGUGGGAGAGGAUGGUAGAAUUCCAGGUGUAGCGGUGAAAUGCGUAGAGAUCUGGAGGAAUACCGAUGGCGAAGGCAGCCAUCUGGCCUAACACUGACGCUGAGGUGCGAAAGCAUGGGGAGCAAACAGGAUUAGAUACCCUGGUAGUCCAUGCCGUAAACGAUGUCUACUAGCCGUUGGGGCCUUUGAGGCUUUAGUGGCGCAGCUAACGCGAUAAGUAGACCGCCUGGGGAGUACGGUCGCAAGACUAAAACUCAAAUGAAUUGACGGGGGCCCGCACAAGCGGUGGAGCAUGUGGUUUAAUUCGAUGCAACGCGAAGAACCUUACCUGGCCUUGACAUAGUAAGAACUUUCCAGAGAUGGAUUGGUGCCUUCGGGAACUUACAUACAGGUGCUGCAUGGCUGUCGUCAGCUCGUGUCGUGAGAUGUUGGGUUAAGUCCCGCAACGAGCGCAACCCUUUUCCUUAUUUGCCAGCGAGUAAUGUCGGGAACUUUAAGGAUACUGCCAGUGACAAACUGGAGGAAGGCGGGGACGACGUCAAGUCAUCAUGGCCCUUACGGCCAGGGCUACACACGUGCUACAAUGGUCGGUACAAAGGGUUGCUACCUAGCGAUAGGAUGCUAAUCUCAAAAAGCCGAUCGUAGUCCGGAUUGGAGUCUGCAACUCGACUCCAUGAAGUCGGAAUCGCUAGUAAUCGCGGAUCAGAAUGCCGCGGUGAAUACGUUCCCGGGCCUUGUACACACCGCCCGUCACACCAUGGGAGUUUGUUGCACCAGAAGUAGCUAGCCUAACUGCAAAGAGGGCGGUUACCACGGUGUGGCCGAUGACUGGGGUGAAGUCGUAACAAGGUAGCCGUAGGGGAACCUGCGGCUGGAUCACC
This 1524-nucleotide ribosomal RNA is filed under the name Acinetobacter sp. 826659. RNAcentral's name for it is "bacterial SSU rRNA". It matches the Rfam family "Bacterial small subunit ribosomal RNA". The record is from RNAcentral. Lineage: Bacteria; Pseudomonadati; Pseudomonadota; Gammaproteobacteria; Moraxellales; Moraxellaceae.